RNAcentral lists this long non-coding RNA (3672 nucleotides) under Bemisia tabaci. Its description in RNAcentral is "lncRNA ENSSSA1UGG012618". Lineage: Eukaryota; Metazoa; Arthropoda; Insecta; Hemiptera; Aleyrodidae. The record is from RNAcentral.
AAGAAUGCUUUUAUUGCGAAUCACUCAGUCUUCAAAAAGUUUAUCCAAAACCUUUAGGAGUUUUCUCCUCACUACUAGAAGCCGGACUGCUCUCUCGAAUUGCGGAUGAUUGAAAAACGGGAAAAUAUCCGGGGAUUGUAUGAAGAAAACUGGACUAUUCUCUCUCUGCUCAAUUUUUUCAACCCAUUGAUUUUUGUAACUGUUUACUGCAGAUCAAUUGUACACUUAUUGAUGCUGCAAAAUCGAUUCAAGUAACCGUCUGUAUUCAAAUAAGGAGUUAUUGAUACAUAAAAAGUAUAGAAAUUGAGGAGCUGUAAGUGCAUAAAUUUAACUAAUAUCAGUCCAACUACAGAUUUUGCUUAAUUUUUUCUUAUGAUAUAUGUAUUUUUAAAACAGAAAACCAAGCAAUAGUGAAUCUUGAAAUUUCGUAAUUAUUGGCACUCUUCAUAAUCUAUGGCAAAUUCACUGAAAGUUCAAAGGUAUUACAUAGUUUAGUUCUCUGUUCAAAAAAAUAAACAUGAGAGAAAAGAGAAGAGAAGUUAAAUCCAUGCCAAUGAUGACUAAAUUUUAUUACUAUUGGAAGUGUCUCUAAAUUUCUGUCAUUGUCUAAGAACGUAUGGAGUUACCCAAAACACUUGCGUAUUGAUCAUUCCAUUGUUGUAAAAGCUGCUCUUAUUUUAGCCAGGGUUGCGAGAGUCAGAGAUUUUUUAAAUUAUGUUCAUGUAUUUUCUUUGUAGAAUGGUUUUAAUGUUUCAAACAACAAAUUUUGCAUUAACACUGUUUCAAAUCAUAUCCUUUUUACCAUUUAGCUUAUCCACAAAUUUUUGGGAAUGUCACCAAAAUGUGUGGGGGAAAUCAUGAGAAUGUCAGGAAUUUCAUUUUCUAAAGUCUGUGGCAAUCUUGUUUAAUGCUGCAAUAUUAUCGUUACUACUAUCAUGUUAACAUUUUUCGUCUGGGAAAUUAUUUCAGACUGACUGAGGAGAAAGUGAAGAUAUCUCACAUCUGCACUAACUCUCAAGAAACACUCAUGCAUCUAUGUCGAGCCACCUUAAAAUCGACGAGGAGCGAUGAUGACACCCUUUUAAAUUGCUGUUUUGUGACGGUCGCCGUUUUUUCUGAAGGAAUUGAAUCGAACCAGGCUCCAAAAAAACAAACAUUAAAGGUCCUCUUACUGACCUUGAAAAAGAUCAAAUUUGUCCUUUCCAACCAAAAUUUGAGCAAAAAUAGAAAAUGGCACCAUGUAUUUGCUCUCCUUGGAGUCCUCUUACUGAGGAACUCUGAAGUGUUCAGCAGCUCGGCCGACAAUAGAACGCAGUUUUUGAUCUCGAUACAUGAAAUCAUCAGUUCUUUUCUAAUUCCCUUCUUAUUAUCGAUAUAUCGAGAAUCUAAAAUGAAUGAAAAACUUAACCUUGCAGCUCUUACCUUAAUCAAUGAAUGGCUGAAACUGGAGAAAUAUGUGGGAAACAAAAAACCCCUUUAUGUGCAAAUAGCUAAGAGUGGUCUGUUUUAUUCUCUGACUGUCUUUAGAUUUCAAUCUGACCAAGGUAGCGAGCUGCGGUUUACAAUAAAUUCAAUCCUGGUCCAAGUUAUAAUGUCAGCAAGCCAAGAUGAAUUGCGAAUCAACUCUGAGAAUGAUGAAAGUUGCAAGCUCCUCCAACAUACUCUCGCGUCAGGUUUUGACGCUCUUCCAAGUAAAAUAUCUGCUUGGUCUCAAGUUUUUCUCCAGUUUCCGAAAAGCUCUGUUGCAGAAUUCUUGUCGGUUUUGCUGUUCUUUGGUGUAAAUUAUUACUUCUACAGCAGCUGCAGUGUUGUAUCAAGAGUUUUCUCCAGCAUCUGUCAUUGUCUCACAGCUAUUCCGACGGACUUUUCUUUGAAUCUCUUCAAACUGCUUUGGUUUAAUUUUGCCAUAAUGUUCAUGAACUGCAAGGAAAAAUCAAGAAUAAGAAAAUUGCCAGAGGCUAAUACAGCAGUGAUUUCAUUUGUUGAGAAGAAUGAAGAACACUUUGAGUCAAUAUUUCUGCCUCAUUAUGCAGUCUUGAUGUGGACUUUCCAGUGUGAUAUCCCUUUUCUUCAAGAAAAAGUGGUGGACAGUUGGCUGCUGAAUUUGAAGAGAACUUCUUUUCUAACCCUCCAAAAUCUUUGUCUAGUCUCCCAAGAAGCUGCUCAUUGUGUUUUGAAUGUCCUGUGUGAUACCAAAAAUGCCAGCGCUGCCAAGCAUGCUGCUCAAAUCUUCUACAGUCUUGUCCAGAAAAAUCAAGAUUAUCACACAAUUUUGUGGAAAAGAGCCUUUCUGGUUUUUGCAUCAGAGCCAUCUACAGAAAUAAAUGUUUACUACAUUGUCAGUCUUCUCAAACUCUGCCCUCCCUUAAAAAUGGAUCUUGUAAUGAAACAAAGCCUUUUCUCUUCGCUCCUCUCGUUUUGGGAAAAGUGGGAGCAGAGAGAAAGCACCAGUCGAAAAAACUAUGAGAUUAUUUCGAAAAUAAUUCAACUCAUGAACACACUCCUCUUCUAUGAAGAGUCACUUCCUCUGGUUAUUGCCACCGAUCCCAAGUUUUUAAGUCGAUUAGAAGUGAAUCUGCAGAGCCCUGACGUUCGCGUCCGCUACCUCUCUUCUAACCUCUUUCUAUCAGUUUUGAAGUUCUUACCGCCAAAUCAUCAGAUGGUGCCCAAGAUGAAUGUAAGUCCCAACUGCAUUCUGGAAAACAGCGCGGAUGCCUCAAUGGAAUUGGUAUCUGUGAGUGUCAAUCUGAUGACGUUCAUUCUCGAACCUGAAACUGAAAAUUGUCUGGCACCGAAGGACGAAUUCUCUUUUGACUUCUUGCGGACAGCCCUUCUUCAUUUCUUAUAUCUCUUCAUGAAGUAUGAUAACAGCACGAUGCAAGCGAUUUUCAAAUGCUUUGAGCUGAUUUUGAUUCGGAGUAAGAGGCUUAACUCUCGCAAGAUGCACGCUCAUUUUGUCACGCAUCCUGCAUUUCCCGAAGCAGUUUUUUUCUACCUCAAAAUAACGGAUGAUCUCAGGGAACUGUUCAGCAAGAAUUUUCUAGAUUUUUUGGCCGAUUGGUUCACAAGUGUUUAUGCAGAUCAGCUUAUAAGACAUGUACUCAUCAGCCAACGGAGAACUCAAGCUCCUCUUAUAUCAAGACUCUACCGCACUAUUUUAAACACAAGCGCGAAACUUCUCUCAUUCCUGAAUGAACACGAAACAAAUGAAGAAAUAUCUUCCAUACUGCAAAGUCUGAAAUUGCUCAUAGAUGUGUUGAUCAGCAUGAAGUACAUCAUCCCACCGGAAACAAUUAACUCUCUCAAGGGUAAAAAACUGAUCUUGCAACAAAGGAGUGCCUUAUCGGCAAGAAAAAAUUAAGUCUAAGUUAGGAUUUUAAACAUUAGAUUUAUGGCUCAGAUUUUAAGGUUUUAAUGAAUAUAAUAUAUAAUAAAUCUCCAAAUUUUAAGAAAAAUUUAUAAUACCAUCAAUUGAACACAUUUGAGCAAUUUCUGACCGAGUUUAAAUUUAUGAAAUAAAUUCUUGUCAUUACAUGGCUUGUUAAAAUCAUCUCUUCAAUUAGGUAAAUUUAAUUCAGUAUUUUUAAUAAUUUCAGUCAAUUUAAUUUUAAUUCAUUUCGCAGUGUUGAGCAAAAACCAACCAAGUGACUUGUUCAAAAGAAUUGAGCUGUG